RNAcentral lists this long non-coding RNA (1582 nucleotides) under Homo sapiens (human). Its description in RNAcentral is "HSALNT0315650". The record is from RNAcentral. Lineage: Eukaryota; Metazoa; Chordata; Mammalia; Primates; Hominidae.
GACCUGGGGUCCCUGCUUCUCCAGGUGCUCCCGGAUUUUGCUCUCUAGCCUCCGGUUCUCGGUCUCCAGGCUCCUCACUCUGUCCAGAUGUGGGCCACCAGCCUUAAGCCAGAGGGAGCUUUGUAAGACAGGAACAUAUAAAAUGAUAAAAGCUUCUCUACGUACAGUUUUCCUGACUCUGAUUCUGCGUGGGACAACCAGUGAAAAUUGCAGGUGAAGAGAAGAAAUGCGUAUUUAUUCCUCCACUGGGAAAAAAAAUACCAUCCAAAGCUACAUGACUUGAGAGACAAGGUCUCACUAUGUUGCCCAGGCUGGCCUCGAACUCCCGGGCUUCAGCAGUCCUCCCGCCUCACCCUCCGAUGUAGCUAGGACUACAGGACCGCGACCCGGCGCUGCCUAAGAACUGUUUUUAAACGUGAAAGCCACGGCUAUCAUUUGCUUUUUGCUCUGCUCUUCAUCUUCUGGAUAAACCUCGUAACACACUGCUUGUUUUGGGUGGUAGUCUGCUGCCUACGCCCCGUCAGACAAGUGGCCUGAGUCCCCCGCAACCCCUGCAGGUCCGGCCGCCGGCGCCAAGCCUCAAGGCAUCCAAGCCAGGAACGAUCGCGGUCAGCUCUGCCACGGAACAUGUGCAAGACCCGGCAGCAGGUUCCGGGGGAGGCGAAUUGAUUUCACAACGGUCGAGAAGGAGGACCCCGCCCACUUCGUCAUUUCUCGGAAGCCCAGGGACUCGCCGGAAGAGCGGCUCAAAAGCCGGAAAACUGGCAAAUCCGAGUCUCCCGGCGCAUGCGCGGCGCAAUCGGCUUCGCGUGGUUGCAGUAGAGAGGAUCCCUCCGCCAGCCACUGCAUCCGGCGGCCGGAUCUAACUUACCCGCUAGCGUUUUACCCUUGCGCGGCCGUGGCGUAGGGCGGUCUUUUCCCUUGGUCCUCCGCGGCGCCGCCUCUUGUGACGUAAGCCGCAGAAUCCUCUGUCUUAGUUCGGCUCUAUUGCCGCGAGCUUGACUCUUCCUGGGUCUGAGGAAAAGUAAAAGUAAUUUUGUCAUUUCCUGAAACUUCAAGUUAAACCUUUAAGCUGUUCAUUUCCUAAAAGGGUGAAAACGCGGGCACCCCUCGAGCUAGUUCAUCGCCUUUUAACCUGUUGUUGGAUCUUUCCAGAUCACCACACCACAUCACCCAGCCACUCUGCCCAAUGGGAGGGCAGACAGUGUUCCAGUGUAGGAGGAAGGGGUGUAAGGUGCGGGCAGUUUGUGAGGAGGGCACCAACGAGAGCUACUGUGAGAAAGUCUGCAUGGUCAAAAAGUGGAUUACCAAGAACAAAGCAUCAUAAUGUUGUCCAGUGGACCCCAGUGGUGGAAGGUACCUGAAAGCCAGAGCUAAAAGAGCCUAUUGAAACAAUCACUACAUGGCAGCCUGUGGGACAUGGAGCUGGGCAGGAGAGAUGGAAAACAGAAGCGAUCAGGCACUGAUUAUAUGUCAAAUUCAACAAAGUUCAGAUAUACGAGGGAACUUCAAAAGUUCAUGAAAAAAAUGGAAUUAGAAGAUAAAAAUAAAAAGUGGAAACUGUAUUUCUCAACAUAAACUC